RNAcentral lists this long non-coding RNA (341 nucleotides) under Manihot esculenta (cassava). RNAcentral's name for it is "long non-coding RNA (MESC_LNC007885)". The record is from RNAcentral. Lineage: Eukaryota; Viridiplantae; Streptophyta; Magnoliopsida; Malpighiales; Euphorbiaceae.
GGGUAGAAUGGCAUGUAUAGGGUUGUAUGAGUUUUUAAGCAAAUGUUAGGUUUUAUGUGAUUUUUGAACAAUGUGGCAUGUUUGAGUAUGCUUGAAGUGUUGUAGUUGGGGUAUUUGAUGUUUUGAGGCCCCUAGGAACUUGUAUGCAUGUUUUGGUUGAGAUAUAUGCAUGAUUUGAGAGUUGGGAGGCGAAAAUGCACAAAGGAGCCAAGUUUCUGCCCUUUGGCAGAAACCAGGUUCGGCAGCCGAAGGCACGUUCGGCCGCCGAACAUGGCUGGGGAGGCAGGCCUUUCGGCUGCCGAAGUUGCCCUCGAAAAGAGACUUUCGUCUCUGUCUGGCAC